ACCUGUGCCUGCAGCGUCCUCCGCCUCACCCAGCAUGGCAGCCUGUGCCUGCAGCGUCCUCCACCUCACCCAGCAUGGCAGCCUCCCGCCGGCCUCACCUAGAAAUCCACUGUCAGCCUCACUGCCCUUCCUCCCGGAUUCAAGAGGAGAACUUGAGCCUGGAGACUUCAGGAUGCCUCCCCAGUCCCUCCUAUACGGGGACCCAAGGCAGAGGGGUCACUGGGAAUCAACGCAUAGACAGUAAUUUUCCUCCUGCUUGCUUUCUUGCUUUACUGAAAGAGCCCUGGAACUUGCCAUUCCUGCAAAAGAUAUAAACUUAUUAAAAAAUCCCUACCACUAGAGUAGUAAGACUACUGAAAAUUCAC
Long non-coding RNA from Bos taurus (domestic cattle), 365 nucleotides. NCBI's taxonomy places the organism in Eukaryota, Metazoa, Chordata, Mammalia, Artiodactyla, Bovidae. The record is from Ensembl.